This 730-nucleotide ribosomal RNA is filed under the name uncultured beta proteobacterium. RNAcentral's name for it is "bacterial SSU rRNA". It matches the Rfam family "Bacterial small subunit ribosomal RNA", at positions 28 to 752 of the family's 1533-position model. Lineage: Bacteria; Pseudomonadati; Pseudomonadota; Betaproteobacteria. The record is from RNAcentral.
AUUGAACGCUGGCGGAAUGCUUACACAUGCAAGUCGAACGGCAGCACGGGGGCAACCCUGGUGGCGAGUGGCGAACGGGUGAGUAAUACAUCGGAACGUGCCCAGUCGUGGGGGAUAACUACGCGAAAGCGUAGCUAAUACCGCAUACGAACUCUGGUUGAAAGCGGGGGACUCGCAAGAGCCUCGCGCGAUUGGAGCGGCCGAUGGCAGAUUAGGUAGUUGGUGGGGUAAAGGCUCACCAAGCCGACGAUCUGUAGCUGGUCUGAGAGGACGACCAGCCACACUGGGACUGAGACACGGCCCAGACUCCUACGGGAGGCAGCAGUGGGGAAUUUUGGACAAUGGGCGCAAGCCUGAUCCAGCCAUUCCGCGUGCAGGAUGAAGGCCCUCGGGUUGUAAACUGCUUUUGUACGGAACGAAAAGGCUUUCUCUAAUACAGAGAGCUCAUGACGGUACCGUAAGAAUAAGCACCGGCUAACUACGUGCCAGCAGCCGCGGUAAUACGUAGGGUGCAAGCGUUAAUCGGAAUUACUGGGCGUAAAGCGUGCGCAGGCGGUUAUGUAAGACAGGUGUGAAAUCCCCGGGCUUAACCUGGGAACUGCAUUUGUGACUGCAUAGCUAGAGUACGGUAGAGGGGGAUGGAAUUCCGCGUGUAGCAGUGAAAUGCGUAGAUAUGCGGAGGAACACCGAUGGCGAAGGCAAUCCCCUGGACCUGUACUGACGCUCAUGC